GGCGACGCAGCACCUGUGGACAGAAAACCUCUCGGUAGUAUUUCGAUGAUUGCGGCCGCCUCAGAAUAGAUAUGGACAUGAGUCCGGAUCCAUAUGAAAAUAGACUUCAUAAGGAUUCCAAGGAGUACUCGAACGCCCAAAACGGAGUCCGGAUGAGGUCGUGGCGGUCGUUGCAAGUUGGGCCAGAACUGUAGUCCGAAUCCAGCACCAAAACGUGUUGGAUUGGAGCUCUUUCUUUCCUUGGGCCAAAAGUGACGUGGUGGCCUGGUGGAGGACGUUAGGAAUACUUGGACUUGGCCCCCAAUCUACUUCUUUGGUCCUCCAUGCCUUCCAUGUGUGUUUAACACUAUUUUUGAUCCAUGUAUGUAUUUCUGAAAUUGACAACGAAUACACAUCAUGGUGCAGCAUCAAUUCAUCAAAUGUAUCACAUAUAAUUAUGAUAAAGAAUUGUUUCACCUCAGAGUCAAAAGAUGCCAAUAUGGUUGUAUCCGAGCAUGUGAUGUCCUCAUCAUUCUCCCCUUCUUGGCUGCAAGUCGUCCUCGACUUGCUCCAGUGGCAUUCUAAGGUGCUUGUUUUGAUGUUGGAGCACGGAGCGACGGCCAUGCUGCAUGGCCACAACCAGUAAUGCUCCCCUUCUUUGGUCUUACCCUGUUGCAUAUGGGAAAAACUAGAAAAACUUUGCAAGACAUUAGUAGUGUUAGUGCAGCCCUCUAUUUGAUCAUGGUAUUGUAGCCCAAAAGGAUAUUUCAGAGUGGAGCAAACAUAAACUUUAUGCACUAAAUAUUCUCCUUUGCUAUCAUAUUUGCCAAUUGCAUGAAGCGAACAAUGAUUAAAACUUGGCAAACCAGAACCAAAUUGAAGUUUCUCUUUUAGACAAUUUAGAUUACACAAAACAUCAAAUUCAAUGUAACCCAAAGUAUUUAAAGAGGAUAGCAAAUUCAGUUCAUCUUGUGCACAAGUAAUAGGAUGAAAAAGCUUAUCUUCAGCACAUUUGUAUGAUUCCAAACCAAAAGUAUCACACUUAUUCACUACUUGUGGUAUAGGAGUAAAAGAAUCAUCAGCACACAAGUCCUCUUUAUCACAACGAACAGCAAGUAAUUCAUUUUGUGACAAAGGAAAAUCAGCAAUGGGUUCCACUAUUUGUUGCUCUUCAUUAGCAUGGAGAGUGGACAAAUUUUGGAUAUAAUGGGUCACAUCAUUCUUGCAAGUAUUCACAGAUAAUAGAAUCUCCUUUUCAACAUUGAGAGCAAGGCAAAACAAUUGACCAAUAUGUAUGUAUGAUUUGCUUAGCAACAAGGUUUGAAUUUCAGAAUUGAGCCCUCUCAUGAACCUACACAUAACAUCUUCCAUGCACUCAUCUAAUCCACCAUACAUGAUACAAAUUUUAAAAUCAUGGAAGUAUUCUUUCACAGUCCUACUACCUUGCCUCAAGUUGUCUAAUUUUUCAAGCAAAUAAUUAGCAUAAUAUUCAGGAAUGAAUGCAUCUCUAAAAAGAAAUUUGAAGUCUUCCCAAGAUUCUAGAACUUUGUUGUGCCUACAAAUCGUUUCCAUUCAAGCAAAGCAUAUUCAGUCAAAACAUUAGAGGCAAUAUAAAUCUUUUGUUUCUCGGACAGGUCAUGCUCAUCAAAUUCAUUAUCUACUUUUAUCUCCCAAUCAAUGUAAGCUUUAGGAUCAAACUUACCAUCAUAUAACGGCAAGUGUUGAAUAACACUCUGAAUAUGAGAGUCUAGUUUCAUCAGCUCCAAAAUCUCCGUAUCACCUGCCAUGGUUAGUAGGAAACAAGAAACACAAAAAUAAUAUGUAUCCUCCUGUCAACUACUAUGAUAUGUUGGUUGUAAUUCUCUCAAACUCAACUUGUAAAAACAAGCCCUUACAAGUUCUUACCAAGCCAAACAGGAGGUGACGGCAACUAACAAGUCUACAACCGUGGAGUGAAGUGUAUCGGUGCCGCAGCAACAAAAAAAAACCUGUCAAGCUGUAGUCGAAUAUGUGGAGCUGUAGGUGGGCUUAAGCAAGGAAAUAUACUAGCACCACGUUAGUCACAAAAGCAAGUUGAGUAAUCAUUCAACGGUGGUACUGUGCUGGUCCUAGGCUAAACCAUGCUAGAGACGUGAGCCUAGGCACAAAGGUAGUCACUGAAAAGAGCAACUAGCACAGCACAAAGAAAACAACAGAUUCAGCCCCUUCUUUCUUCCCCUUGUCUUGUCUUUUUUUUUCUUCUUCUUCUUUUUUUUUCUUUCUCUUGUUUUUUUGUUUCUUUUUUUUUGCAGAGGCCUAAAUCUUUUAUUUGGUACUAUAACAACCCAAACAAUAAGGCUAUAGCACACAGCCCCUUCGUAUAUUAGAUUUAACAACUCUUGCUAAUACAGCAGAUGCGGAAAUCUCUAAGACGAUUGUGGAGCGCUCAGACUGAAUUUUGCUGCAAGGUCAGAUCCGUUGGAAAGAAGACAACUUCAAGUUUCCAGAUUGUAUUUAAACUCCUAAAUCGGACAUCAUAUGAAACCGUGGUGGCAGAAAUGAAGCGAUGAUGUAUAUGGUGAUGGUGGGUCUCGUGGUGACCAAAACGUGAUAGAACUCAAAACUCUAAAGGAAUAGACACUAAGACCAGCAACUCGACACAACCGAUGCAACCAAAAACUCAACAAGCCCUAACUAAGCAAUGCUAGCAAAGGCUCAAAGGGUUUAUAGGAUUACAGGUAAACUAAUCUACUAUCUUUUUUGUGCUUUUAUGAACUAUAGGUAAUUAAAAAACAGCAAGGAACUGGAAGUCUCUCACCGAUAAACCUGGCUCUGAUACCAACUGAUAUGAACCCGCUAGGGUUGAUUCCCGAUCUUUCGAUGAGAGGCGUGGGAUAACUCGAUUGGUGGAUGGAGACGACGUUCACGGCCCGACUACAGCCUUCCAAGCUGCGCCUUAGCAACCGAUACACCACCUCCAAUGGCUGCCGCGAUCUUGUGGAGCGCGUCACCCGGCCACUAGGGCACUCGUCCUGCAAGCAAUCGAAGAACAAGCAAGAACAAGUAGAACAAGCAACUGAAUUGCAAAUAUAAAGAUGAAAACAAAUCUGAAAUCACAAAGUUGGGGUUCUGAAUCGAGUAGAACGGAUGGUCUAGUCGACACACGCGUCUACAAGGAAGUAGCAAUGGCUAAACUUUCAACAAAACAAAACCCAAUCUGUUCGUGGUGGCUCUAAUUCUUAUUAAUACCUAGGAGGACGACCAGGGGGGUGUUGGGGUCGUGCUCCAACCCUAGGACACAUCCCUAAUGGACCCAACUUGAUACACGGCCCAUCGGGCCAAAAUAGGGCGACGCAGCACCUGUGGACAGAAAACCUCUCGGUAGUAUUUCAAUGAUUGCGGCCGCCUCAGAAUAGAUAUGGACAUGAGUCCGGAUCCAUAUGAAAAUAGACUUCAUAAGGAUUCCAAGGAGUACUCGAACGCCCAAAACGGAGUCCGGAUGAGGUCGUGGCGGUCGUUGCAAGUUGGGCCAGAACUGUAGUCCGAAUCCAGCACCAAAACGUGUUGGAUUGGAGCUCUUUCUU
RNAcentral lists this long non-coding RNA (3542 nucleotides) under Setaria italica (foxtail millet). RNAcentral's name for it is "long non-coding RNA (SITA_LNC003321)". Lineage: Eukaryota; Viridiplantae; Streptophyta; Magnoliopsida; Poales; Poaceae. The record is from RNAcentral.